CAGCCGCCACGGUAAUACGUAGGUGGCAAGCGUUGUCCGGAAUUAUUGGGCGUAAAGGGCUCGCAGGCGGUUUCUUAAGUCUGAUGUGAAAGCCCCCGGCUCAACCGGGGAGGGUCAUUGGAAACUGGGAAACUUAAGUGCAGAAGAGGAGAGUGGGAUUCCACGUGUAGCGGUGAAAUGCGUAGAGAUGUGGAGGAACACCAGUGGCGAAGGCGACUCUCUGGUCCGUAUCUGACGCUGAGGAGCGAAAGCGUGGGGAGCGAACAGGAUUAGAUACCCGAGUAGUCCCUGUCUCUUAUAC
This 301-nucleotide ribosomal RNA is filed under the name uncultured bacterium. RNAcentral's name for it is "partial 16S ribosomal RNA". It matches the Rfam family "Bacterial small subunit ribosomal RNA", at positions 509 to 807 of the family's 1533-position model. The record is from RNAcentral.